CGGGUAAUGCUUCGUGGAUAUUGGCAAUUAUAAUGUUUCAUUUAUUUAAAAUAUAAUAUUUUUUAUUAAAAACAUUUAAAUAAUUUUUUGAAUUAUUUUUCCAAAUAGUAGGGCACCGUUUAUCUUCUACGGUUUAGCCACCGCAUUCUCCAGUCUCUCAAGCCUCAGUGUAACGGACUCCCCAUCUCCUUCCACUUUUUAUCUUAUCUUCCUAACACACGGUACCGUUUAGUUUGUACCCUAUCGCCGUUCUCCGCUUCCAGCCGUUGAACUACAGCUGCGCUACCACCUCAACGGCGACCGAAUCACUACUCCAGCCUCCUUCAUCUCCUUCAUUACUCCCCGCUCUCCCCUGCAGAGGUUAACCCUUUCCUAACUUCUCUCUUUUCCUAUUCUCUUUUCCUACUCAGCUCGAUCUUGAGCAAUGUAGCUUAAGCUCUUCUUAUUUAAAUUUUGUUAAAUUCGAAUAGGAUUCUGAUUGGGUUUGUCUUCACCUUGCUUCUGGUCGAGUUUGAGCUCAUUUCAUUCGAUUAGACAAGUCAAAUUCAUAAUUAUUUAAAAACAUUAGAAAAUUUAAUACAGAAAUUUCUAUAAAUUGGACAAUUUUAGUAGUCAUUUGCUUAUGAAGUAGUCUGUUUAGUUAUGUUGUGCGUAAUAGCAUUUGUAAUCUUGGAAACCAUAUUAUAAAUGAUUGGGUUAGCUUACUAAUACAGUUUACGGUAUUAAAAAAGGACGAAAAAAAAGCAAGUUAAUCAAGUGUAGUAUAAAUGAUCUGAAGUAACUUUAUCUAUUAAUUUCUGUAAAGAAAUGUAUAAAGCAAACUUCACAAUGAAAAUAUAGGUUUGGUAAGUGUAUGAAUCAAUUUAUUUACUAGCUUCCAAUGCCUGUUCAAUAGCCUAUCGACAAUCUAGAUCAUGAGUCUGUUGAUGAGUUAGCUUAUGAAUCUAUAAAUGAGUUGGUAAGGUUAAACGAGAUGACUUACAAUUAGCUCAAUUUGCUUCUGUAUAAGACUUUUAGAAAUAGACUUGAGCUUGUGUCAUUAAACAUAAUGAAUGAGUUCAAAUGAGCAUUUACAAAUAGGUUCAAGCAAGCGACUUGAUUUUGGCUUAUUAACCUUAACAAACAAGGUUAGCAAACCUUUGUUGAGCUAUGCUCUAAGUAGCUGACAAGCUGCUCAGACUAUUUGCAGUUUUUAGUGAACCUUGAUUUGUUAUGUUUUAGUGAAGUCCUUGGGAAAUGGGAACAGUUAGUUGUAUUUUUCCUUUGAAUUUGUUGUUCUUUUUGGUUUAUAUAAUUCAUCAACUUCUCAGGUACAGAAAACUGUGGAUUUAUUAGUAUCAUCUGUAUUCAAAGAACAGUUCAGAUGAUGGUCUAUCCAGUUUGUUCAUUUCACUUACAAAAUUGUUUGGAGGGCUUCACUCAAUUGACAUUCUGGUGAGUUAGAGCACAGAAAGAAAAUGAAGUUAUUUACAUAGGCUUGCAGUAAGGAUAAUUACAGAUGCUUGUAAUACACAUUUUGAAAGAAUUCUUCCAAUUAAGAAAAUGGUUAUGAAAUCUGGAUCUUUCUGUAAAAAUUAUGAACAAAGUUUGUGUCACCAUUUGUCAGGCGAUUGUCUGUUACAUAUCCAUCCAGCAAGCAUGUUCCAAACACUGUUUUAUUGCCAACUCUGGGUUAUGUGGUGGAAUACACAAAUUUCCAAGCAAAUAUGGUACGGUCAAAUUAUCAAACAUCUGUUACAAAAAGAGUAUGUCCCUCUUAUGCUUCUUUCAAUUCCUUAUCAAGAGUUCACCAUCGUGGAGGAUUGCAAAUCAGUGUUAAUGCUGAGGAAGCAUCAAGUUUUGGCAAGCAUUGCCGGUUAAAACUUAGUCAGGAUUCUGCUGAGACUGAAACUUUGAAUGAGGAGCUUCUGCUGGACAAUUACUGUGACUGUUCCAAAAAUCCCAGUGACAAUAAUGAAAGGAAAAAAUGCAGAAAGAGAAAACAUGGUAAUAAGGGGAAGGUACCGUGGAACAAAGGCAGAAAACAUACUGCAGAGACUCGUGCACUUAUCAAGCGGAGAACAAUAGAGGCCUUGAGAGAUCCCCAGGUGAAGUCAUGUAAGAACUCGUUAGUUUUUUGGCAUAAUGAAGGUUUUAGGUAGGCAUUUUUAGAAUGGUGAGGGUUCAUACCAUCUGGCAUAACUGCACAUUUUUUUUUUCCAUAUUUAAAGUCUUCAUUGAUGUAUAUGGUCGAUGUUUAUAGGAGCUUUUGGAAUAGUAAGUGAAAAUUCAUGUACUUACCAGAGAAAAUACAAACCUUUCAUGUCAUUUUCCUGCUUUAAUAAAUCUUUACUUGCCAUGGAUUCAUAAACACUGCCUAUAGAUAUCCUACUCUUUUUUUAACUCUUCUUUUCCCUCCUCUAAAAUCUUCAUUAUUUCCUUCCUGUACAACUUUCACUUUCAGGUUAGAAAGAAGAUGUCAGAACAUCCUCGUGCCCAUAGGUAAUCUUUAAAUGAUCUAGUCACUCCCUUCAAAGUUCUGUCAAAUAGAAUAUUAUUAAGUUUAGUAUAUGGAUUAUGGAAAAAUAGUAUUAUGAAACACACAGGAUUAUUAUUAAGCAUUCAAAUUUCAAAUCUUUAAUCAUAGUUGGGAUCAGUCAUGCAGUAGUUUUACCACCAAGCAUAAAAUAAUUAUAUUCAAGUAUAUAAGCACAUUGUGUCAACAUAUGCUAGGAAGAUACAGAGAUAAAAGCCACGACAUGAAUCUUAGAAUAAUGACUGUAAGUAGGGAAAUAACUGGCUAUUUGUCAUGCAAGAUUCACUCAGUUGAAGUUGUUUACAAUACAAUGGUUUGUUUUAGAUUAAAUCAACUGAUAAUGAUCAUCAGCAAAUAAUUUCAUGUGACCUGCUCUUAUGAUUGUUAAGCAUAUUAGUCAGCAAACAUUUCUUCUGGUUAAUAGAGGAUAAAUUUUUUAAAUAUCAGGCAUCUUAGCUAUAAGUUUUUAGGUCUUUAGCCUGAAUAUUUGAGUUGCUACAGUCAUACUAAUAUGUCAUAAUUUAUUUAGACGAUGAAAAUCACAAUUCAAAACAUAUUCUAUUGCAGUGAUGAGAUCAAGGAAAAAAUAGGUUUUUCACUUAGACGGCUUUGGGGCAAGCGUUUGAAAUGGAAGAAACUAAGAGAGAAGUUCUUCCUGUCAUGGACUAAAAGCAUAGCAGAAGAAGCUCGGAAAGGAGGCAUUGACCAAAAGGAGCUAGAUUGGGAUAGCUAUGACAAGAUAAAAGAAGAAAUAACUCUACAACAGCUUCAGUUUGCCGAGGACAAGGAAAAGGCAAGGGAGCUAGCAAAGAUAACAGCUGAGAGAGCAGCACAGGCAAAAGCAGAAAAGUUAGCAAGGCUUGCUCAGAAGAGAAAAGAGCGAGAAGAGAAAAAAAAAGAAAGAGAAACAAAGAAAAAGGCUUCCAGAAAAUCAAAGAAGAAAGCAAAUAAGCUGUCAGUUGUCCAGGAGUUGACACUUCAACAGAGAUUAACAAAGAUUCGCAAAAAGAAACCCAUAAAGGUGAUUACUCAAGGAGAGGCAUCGAUUUCCCAUAGUCCAGCUUGGAAGAAAUUGGAUGUGGCACUUGUGAAGAGAGAAAAAGUUCAAAGAGAAGUUUCACUCGCAGAUCAGAUCCAAGCUGCCAAAAACAAAAGAACUGAACCCAUGGCAAGGGAAGCAUUGGCAGAAUCAUCUACUGAUCAUUUUUUCCCAUGAAGAUCACUAGAGUAUUCCUGAAUUGCAUUAUUUGCGGCAACAUCAAACAUGACUGGUAUUGACUGAAAGGCAAAACAAGGUCAGUCGAGCAACAUACCCAUUAUGAAAUUAGAUUCCAAGUGCCAACAAAGUUCAUUAACCACUUUAGAAGAAAAAUAUUUGAAGAAACAAUUUUCCAGCAGUGUCUGAUCACCUAGUGCCUGCAGGGAUGAAUUAUUGAACAUGUCCUAGACAUUGCAGGGAGAGUGGUUUUUUGGGACUGGGGGAUGAUU
Molecule: unclassified non-coding RNA, 4003 nt
Filed under: Hevea brasiliensis (rubber tree)
Lineage: Eukaryota; Viridiplantae; Streptophyta; Magnoliopsida; Malpighiales; Euphorbiaceae
Source: RNAcentral